UGAAUACGAGAUGCUACGGCAUUGAAGUAGUGUAUGUCAGACUUCCAAGAAAAGCUCGCAAUGUCAUAAAUAAAUAAUGCCUGUACCAUAACCGACACAGGUGGGUAGGUAGAGUAUACUAAGGGGCGCGAGAUAACUCUCUCUAAGGAACUCGGCAAAAUGACUCCGUAACUUCGGGAGAAGGAGUGCCUCAUUUAUGAGGUUGCGAUAACAAGAUCCAAGCAACUGUUUACCAAAAACACAGGUCUCCGCUAAGUCGUAAGACGAUGUAUGGGGGCUGACGCCUGCCCAGUGCCAGAAGGUUAAAGAAGUUGGUUAGCAUCCGCGAAGCUGAUAACUGAAGCCCUGGUGAACGGCGGCCGUAACAAUAACGGUCCUAAGGUAGCGAAAUUCCUUGUCGGGUAAGUUCCGACCCGCACGAAAGGCGUAAUGAUUUGGAUUCUGUCUCAGAGAGGGACUCGGUGAAAUAGACUUGUCUGUGAAGAUGCGGACUACCUGCACCAGGACAGAAAGACCCUAUGAAGCUUUACUGUAACUUGAAAUUGAAAUUGGACUUUAGUUGCGCAGUAUAGGUGGGAGGCGUUGAGUUUAUUCUUGCGGGAAUUUAGGAGCCAUCAGUGAGAUACCACUCUGCUAAUGUUAGAUUUCUAACUUUGCAUCAUAAUCUGGUCAAAGAACAGUUUCAGGCGGGCAGUUUGACUGGGGCGGUCGCCUCCUAAAUUGUAACGGAGGCGUACAAAGGUUUCCUCUGAACGUGUAGAAAUCGUAUCUAGAGUAUAAAGGCAUAAGGAAGCUUGACUGUGAGACUUACAAGUCGAGCAGGGACGAAAGUCGGUCUUAGUGAUCUGACGGUGCUGAGUGGAAAGGCCGUCACUCAACGGAUAAAAGUUACUCUAGGAUAACAGGCUGAUCUCCCCCAAGAGUUCACAUCGACGGGGAGGUUUGGCACCUCGAUGUCGGCUCAUCGCAUCCUGGGGCGGUAGUACGUCCCAAGGGUUGGGCUGUUCGCCCAUGAAAGCGGUACGCGAGCUGGGUUCAGAACGUCGUGAGACAGUUCGGUCCAUAUCCGGUGUAGGCGUUAGAAUAUUGAGAGGAGCCUUCUUUAGUACGAGAGGACCGAGAAGGACAUACCUCUGGUGUACCAGUUAUCGUGCCAACGGUAAACGCUGGGUAGCUAUGUAUGGAGUGGAUAACCGCUGAAAGCAUCUAAGUGGGAAGCCCACCUCAAGAUAAGUAUUCUCAC
RNAcentral lists this ribosomal RNA (1243 nucleotides) under metagenome. Its description in RNAcentral is "bacterial LSU rRNA". It matches the Rfam family "Bacterial large subunit ribosomal RNA", at positions 1564 to 2817 of the family's 2925-position model. The record is from RNAcentral.